UAUUUCUACUCCGGCUCACUACCUCACUAGUUUCAGAGAUGGCUUGCUUAAUGGCGUUCCCCGAGAAAACACACUUGUGACCCUAGUGUGGACCUAAGUGAAUAGCUUUUUUUUUUUUUACAUUUAACAGUAUUGUACUUGGACAGAAAAUAGCCAGAUCAUGUUUUAGCUUCUGUUAGUCAAGACACUAGUUUUCCUUAAUGGCUGAGAAGAUACUGGCAGAUGCAAUUUUUAAAAUGUAUAUGAAAGAAAGACAAAAGAGGGAGUCACUUCCCUCCCUGGGCCCCACUUUCCCCAUCUGUAAAUGAACCUGGCAUUCAAGGGCCUCUGCCUUCUGCCUCUGACCUUGCCCAACACCACUCCUCUCUAUACUCUAAGAACCCAGUUCCUCUAUUACCCACGAGGCAAUCUCACGCUGCUUUUGCUUCCGUAACUCUCUCUUCUCUUAUUUAUCUUCACUAUUCCAAUUCUCCUUUUUUUCUUAGGCCAGCACAAACUCCCUGAAGCAUUCUUUGAAUUCCUCUGCUGGAAGCUAGUGUUUCUUCCUCACCUGCCAGUCACCUGUUUGACUUGUGGAUGAUGCUUAACAAUUUCUGCCUCAUAUUAUAGUCAUUUGUUACCUGUUCCAUGUCCUUAUCUCACGAAUUCUCGAUGACAGACACAUCUCUGUGUCCUGUUUCUUCUCCAGGAGUGUGGACCUCAUGAAGUACAAAUUUAAUAAAUAUCUGAACAAACAAAGAAUGGAUGAUAUUUGAGGUCCUUUCUAACACAGACUCUGAUUUUAGAGUAACAUCAUACUCAUCCUGAAGCAAGUUUAAUAAGAAUUCAUUUAGAAGUAAGAUAUUUUUUGUGAAGUUAUUAUAGAGACUUGUCUAAUCAAAAACUAAAUGAUCUUGGCUGAAUUCUCCUUCUUUAAAAAUAAAUCCAUUCAAAGGUAGAUGCCAUGUAGUAGAAAAAAAUGCUACCUGGGUUUUGUUGUUGUUGUUGUUGUUUUUUGGUGUGGGAAAAGUGAAAUUUGAGAUACUGUUCUAUUUCUUACUAGCUGUGUGACUUUAGACAAGUCAUGCCACUUUUCUGAGUCCAUUUUUUUUUUAACCAGUAGGUAACGAUGUCUUCACGGGGUUGGGAAGAGUUAAGGUGAUAAUGGAUGUGAAAGUGUGUUGCAAACUAAAAAGAACCCCACACAUAAAAAGGGUUAUUAUUAUCAUUACCAUUAUUAUUAUUUAAAAAGUCAUUUCCACGGGAUGUAAAUGCAGUCUCUACAGCUCCUCUGGGCCUCUAAGUGUACAGACUGUAUUUACAAGUUUAUAAAACUCCCAAUAUGGAGUUGAAUAACAGCCAAUCAAUGCUAAUGGCGCUGGAUCCUUAUUUACAGAGUGCCUUUCCUCUGAGAUCAAGAGCUGUUAAUAGCUAAAUCCAUCAAAUUUUAAUUAAUUUCCAUUCCGUAGAUUGUCUGACAAAUAUUUACUGCAUGCCUACUAUGUGUCAGGCAGCAUUUUAGACAGUGGGUGGGUCAUUAAUAUUGCUAAUGAUCUACUUACCUUAUGGAAAACUGCAGAUCCACAGUUACGUGCAGACAAAGUCAGGGGCAGGGCUACAGUCCAGAGCUUAAGGUGGGUAUGGCCUACAUUGUGCUAAGGAUAAUUGUUUCAUGAGCUGAAGCUGGGCAACUUUAGUAAGAGGUGACUCUUUGGUAAGAGUCACAUAUCUUCAUCCACAGAAAACUGGGCCUUUUCCUUAUUUGCCCAUAAUGAGAAAUGAUGUCAGUGGCUGAAAGACACAUUGUGUGACCCAAGUUGCAGGGGUUAGGUUUCUGGGCUGCUUUGGUCAGCUCAGUUUCAGACACUUUGGAAUGGAAAGUUUAAAUGUAGCUAUUGAUUGAGAGAGAUUUGAGUCUGUCCCAGAGCUGACUCCUGCAGAGCCCUGCACCUGGCUGCAAACGCAUUUCACAGAGGUGCAAUUUCACUUUUAUCAUCUAGAGAGAACAGAUUCUUUUCCAAUUGGAGGAUUUUUAAGAUGCUGGGAUCAAAGCUCCACUUUCAUGUGCGGUUGACUCAGAGAACUAGGAGUCAGCAGGGAUAUGGUGAGCCAGCCCAAGAUGCUACAGGGAGCAUUAGGCAUGUUUCCCAUUUCCAGCCAUGUAGCCUCUCAGACAUUUUCUACCAAAGGGUUCCGAGUAGGCCUCCACAGCUUUGGAAUAUCCCUAGCAGUUUUAUCUAGAACAGGAAAAUCACAUAGAUAAUUUGCAUCAUCUUGAAUGGCAGGAUUGUUGACAGUCAUUUGACACAUUUGCUGAAGGAUUAUCACUUUUUCUCACUUUUGAGAAAGACCCAGAGAUGACAGGGCCACCUUCCUCCAAAAGCUCACUGUGGGGUGAUUAAGAAUAUAAAUAAUUAGAAGGGACCACUCAUUCAACAAAUAGUCCUUGAUAGAGUUUUUUUUUUUCCCCAAAUCACACUCUUCAAAGAGUAAAAAGGAUUUGAUGAAACCAGAAAGUGUUUUUUUGUUUUUUUUUCUAUAAUGUGGUAUUUGAGAUACUUUUGUAGCUGACUAUGAAAAAUUUUGAAGAAAAACAAAAACAAAAACAAAAAACAAAGAUGGUUUGAGAAUGGGUGCAUUCCAGAGGUGAGCAAUGUCCUAGAGGCAGGGAAAUGGAAACUGACCCUGGGCACCAAGCAUCGUCCUGUGAGGGCAGAUUGGAGAGUACAGCAGGCAAGAACUGGAUAAAGAGUUUCUGUGGGUCACUUUGGCAGCCAGCUUAACUCUGUGAAGGCAAUACUGUGAAACUUUGAGAGUGCUAUUUGGAGGCAUUUAAAUGAUUGACCAUGUACAACCUCACUCGCUGGUCUACAGUUAUCUCACAAUUCACCCAGUCUCUUAUAUGUAAUAGAUUUCUCUGAGCAACUGGAAAGCCAGCCUCUCCUCAGAUAACAAGUGCCAUUGUAAUUCGUGAUGAAUAAAGGCUCAGAAUGACCUACCACCGUGAUUUUUCCAAACACUUGGGAUUUUGUGUGUAUGUCAUUGAUAAUUGUCUUGCUUUUGGCAAAGUGGCCCUAGAAAAGUAGUAACCAUACUGAAUCAUUCAUUUUAUUUUGAUAAAUAAUAUAUUGGCUUGGAUGAGAAAAAAAAAACUCUCCUAUCUUCAUUUUGAUUAUAUUCCUUUGGAUCACAGGCUCACCUUUCUCCCUGAUUUAAAUAUAAGAAGCCAUCCUGUUUUUGGAAGUAGUUACUUCUUGUUCUUCACUUGAUUGUUAUAAUAUUCUUAGUGAUUUGGGAAUUAGUGUAUUUACGUAGUUAUCUAAGUAAGUGUUCAUCAAAGUAUAAACUCACUUCUAGGUUUAAGUGUGAAUUCUAUUUAAAAUUCUUUAAGAUAUUCAUCAAAUAUAUACGUGUGUGUGUAGGUGUGUGUGUGUGUGUGUGUGUAUGUGUGUAUUUAUGACAUUACUCUUUUAAAAAUACCCAGAGCCCCCAACUGACAACAGUGAGAGAAGUGUAGAAUAGUGGAUAGGACCUGGCCCUGGAAUGCAAGAGGAAUGGAUUCUCCAGGGACUCUGCCAUUUACCAGCUUUGUGAUGCAGGGCAAGCCACAUACCUGUUCUGAGCCUUGAUUUUCCUUCAAGACAAAUUCUCACCCUUUCCUGCCUCCAACUAAUACAGUAAUUCCCCUUUAUCUGUGAAGGAUAUGAUCCAAGACCCCUAGUGGGUGCCUGACACUGCAGAUAGUCCUCAAUGCUAUAUAUGCCAUGUCUUUUUGAUUUGAAAACAGAGAUGACUACCAAGUGACUAACAAGCAGGUAGUGUAUACAGCAUGGAUAUGCUGGCCAAAGGGAAGAUUCAUGUUCUGGGCAGGAUGGAGUGGGACAGUAGGAGAUUUCAACACACUACUCAGAGCUGGGUGCAAUUUAAAACUUAUGAAUUGUUUAUUUCUGGAAUUUUGCAUUUAAUAUUUUUGGACCCUGGUUGACUGUGGGUAACUAAAACCCUGGAAACUGAAACCAUGGAUAAGGGAGGAACUACUGUAUUUAUUGAAUGCGAGGUGUGGCACACUUCUCAUACAAUUAUGGAUGCUUCUCUUACAAAGCUUGAAGCCUAAAAGGGUGGGGGGCAAAGGUUCUCCAGCAAUUUAAGUCAUCAUGCUCAAGAAAUGCUCAAGGUUCUAUGAGAGCCCAGGUUGAGCGCAUCAAAUCAUACUGGAGGAUAUGAAAAAGCUUCCUAGAGGAGCUGACAUUUGCACUAAAGUUUGAGUGAAGUAGAAAGAGAAAGGGGCACACUGUUUUUCCAAAUAGGGAGAGCAGCAUGGACGAACGCAGAGGCGCAACACAACUUGCUAUAUCUGGGGGAACCAUGGGAGGAUCUUGGUAGGAGGUAGGAGAGAGGAUAAGAAUGGGAAAGGUGGGAUCUGGGGCUGCAGUGGUGAAGUCUCUUUUAGGCUCAGCUGGCAAUACCAUUGCUGCUAAUAAUAACUACCUUUUGUUGACUGAAUUGAAAAUACAAGUUAAGCUCAUUUUUAGAUUUCAAAGAUUGAUAAAAUUAGCAUUGCUGAGUGCCUAGCUUUUUACCAAAUAGUCAUUUCUAAUAUGCACUAUACAAUUUCUCAAAUGUAAACAAGUAUUAACCAGAUCUGCUGACUUAACUGAGAUCAAUUAACAAUGUCAAGAGCUAAAGGAUUAUGGAAAUGUUGAUGUCCUUUUGUGAUAUAAAAUUUUACAACUGUUCAUUUAAAUAUUCACCCCAGUGCUUUGAUAAACUGACCCAAAUCUUAGCAUAUUAUCGAGAUAAUAAGGGUUUACUAGGUAGUAUUUAUCCUACUUUAGUUCUCUUGAGCAUAGACGUUCAGUAGAUUUUUUAUUUCUUGGCACAAUUUUAUGAGCAUUCAAAUUAAAACUAUUUUUCAUGUUUAGUGUAGUAGUAACGUAUGAAAAGCUAAACAGGAAAAUAAAAUAAAACCUUAAAUCCAAAAUUGCAAUGAGAGAGAAGUGUUGAAAUUCAAUCCACCAAUGAUUACUGAAUCCAUCCACAUGUUAAAUUCAACCAUUUUUUUUAAAGCUCUGUUUACUUGAUUUGUUUAACCUUGUGAACUUAGGAAUAAUCAUUUGCAAACUUGACAAUAAUACUGUCAGCCCUCCGUAUCUAUCGGUUCUACAUCCAUAGAUUCAACCAACUAUGGAUAAAAAAUAUUUAAAAAAAGAUUGCAUUUGCAAUGUUCACAUGCAGUGAACAUUGAAUUUUUGUCUUAUUAUUCUCUAAACAAUGCAGUAAGACAACUAUUUACAUUGUGUUAGGUAUUAUAAGUAAUCUAGAGAUAAUAAAAUAAGUGUACAUAGGUUAAAUGCAAAUACUAUACCAUUUUAUAUCAAGGAGUUGAGCAUCUGUGGAUUUUGGUAUCCAAAGGAGGCCCUGCAGCCAAUACCCUAUAGACACCAAGGUUCAACUGUAUAGACAAAGGGCACAGUAUAUGGAGUAAGUGGUUAAUAAACUGUACAUAUCACUUACCAGGCUUUGUGCCAAGCUCUCUCUUGACCUUACCUCCAGGGCAGAGCAGUUGGAAGAGGUGAGCCAACAGGAUUUCUGUGGGAGCAGAGGCGCCAGGAGAGGUAGAGCUGGAAGGGCUGUUAUCCUGAAGGUUCUUUAAGAACUCGUGGAAUUGGGAGGAGCCAAGAUGGCCGAAUAGGAACAGCUCUGGUCUACAGCUCCCAGCGUGAGCGACGCAGAAGACGGGUGAUUUCUGCAUUUCCAUCUGAGUCUCAACAGCUUGGGAAGCCAAGGCUGAACCCUUAAAGGAGCUGCACUGGGAAGGGAAGAUCUGGUGGAAAACUCAUGCAAGAUUCAGGCUUUGCAGGCAAGGAGCUAAAUCUGACAUGACAGAUAACAGAGUUUUCUGGACUUCUGGAGAAUAAGAUUAUUAUUCUCAAGGAGAGAUGAUCACCUCAGGAAAAUCUGGACUAUUGAAAAAAAAAGGUAGUAAAUACAACACAAUUUUUCCUGUUAAACAUUUUGCAUAUAAACGAAAUACAGUGUGGGCUUUAGAAAUAUUUUGAUAUGAAAGUAGCACUUCAAGAGAUUUGUGGUUUUGCAUCUUCCUCUAGAGCUCUGUACAAGAAAAAUACUCUAUCCCUGCAACUUCACAAAAAUGAUUAGGUAUUGCUUUUGGAAGUACUUAUUAUCAAUAAGACGCCUCCCCACCUUUGGGGACUUCUUGCAGGUUGUUGGAAAAAAGCUAAAAAGAGCACCUCAAAAUAUCCUCAGUGGCUUUUUUGAAGAACUUUAGAAGCCUUGGAGCCUGCUCAUGGAACAGUUUUGAGGUGGAGGCAGGCAGGAAAACACUGAGUUUGAGUAACAAAGAAGCGAGAGAAUAUUAACCUUUGACAGCUCCAUAACUACUCUCACCCCACUCUCGAAAAACAAAACAAAACACAUACAGGAAUAUAACAAGCAAUGUGAAGUCAGUGGGGAGAGGAGAGGGAAGCAGACAGCUGGAAAGUUACUGCAGCAAGUAGAAAGAGAAACCCAAAUUGUGAACAUUAAAAACGAUUCGUAAAUCUCUCCUCCCUGCCUUCUGAAUAAAACCAUACCCUGCCUGGAGACACUAGCCUCCUCUAAGACUUCAGUAAUUCGUCCUGAUGCACGCAGUACUAGUCCAAUCCAUUUUCUAGUUUGCAGAGGAAAAUCCGGUCCGGCGUUUAUUUUUAGCAGCGCU
This is a long non-coding RNA of Homo sapiens (human), 6697 nucleotides long. RefSeq lists it as uncharacterized. The transcript has 3 exons. The record is from RefSeq and is a predicted model, not a curated record. Lineage: Eukaryota; Metazoa; Chordata; Mammalia; Primates; Hominidae.